UACCUCCAAUAAUAUGGAGUAUUUACUACAUCACCAAGCAUAAGUAACACCUACUUUGGGACAUCCACAAGACAUGGCAAGGCCCAACCGAGACAUGCAUCGUGUAGCCCUAUGUUCAGGCUACGCGGCGGUAUCCGGAAGUCGCAAAUCCGCCACCGGGAAGCCACCUUUCCGCCCUUGCCAAGAUGCCCCCAUAACAUAGCUUUCUACAUGUUAAAUAGACUAGAAUAGUAACUUUGCUUGUCCCACAUCGAAGAACAAGUAAAUGAGAAGCAUUCCUUCAUCUAUAAAAGGAAUGCCUCCUCCCACAACUCAACACAUUCAUUACAUCUCUUGUAAUCUUGUUAGGCCGCAAGGCUCGACACACUAGUAUAGCUUUCAAGUGGACGUAGUCUCCCGCUCAUGCGGAGGCGAACCACUAUACAUCUUGUGUCAAUCUCUCUCUCUCUCUCUAUCUCUUACUUAUCGUUAAUUAGAUCCCCACGGAUCCAAGCAUUAACAUUGGCGCCGUCUGUGGGAAGCCAACACAAAGGCUUCGUCACCUACCACGAGCUUUGACCCAUAAGCGUCGAGGUCAACGCUCAUUCAACAUCAAAUUAGGGUCCGGUCAACGCCCAGCGGAGUCGGUCAACGCCCAACAUGGCUGGUCAACGCCCGGUGGAGUCGGUCAACCCCCGGCG
This 680-nucleotide long non-coding RNA is filed under the name Rosa chinensis. RNAcentral's name for it is "sRNA RchiOBHm_Chr1g0344231". Lineage: Eukaryota; Viridiplantae; Streptophyta; Magnoliopsida; Rosales; Rosaceae. The record is from RNAcentral.